RNAcentral lists this ribosomal RNA (251 nucleotides) under uncultured bacterium. RNAcentral describes it as "partial 16S ribosomal RNA". It matches the Rfam family "Bacterial small subunit ribosomal RNA", at positions 524 to 776 of the family's 1533-position model. The record is from RNAcentral.
UACGUAGGUCCCGAGCGUUGUCCGGAUUUAUUGGGCGUAAGGCGAGCGCAGGUGGUUUAUUAAGUCUGGUGUAAAGGCAGUGGCUCAACCAUUGUAUGCAUUGGAAACUGGUAGACUUGAGUGCAGGAGAGGAGAGUGGAAUUCCAUGUGUAGCGGUGAAAUGCGUAGAUAUAUGGAGGAACACCGGUGGCGAAAGCGGCUCUCUGGCCUGUAACUGACACUGAGGCUCGAAAGCGUGGGGAGCAAACAGG